Molecule: long non-coding RNA, 380 nt
Filed under: Anas platyrhynchos platyrhynchos (common mallard)
Lineage: Eukaryota; Metazoa; Chordata; Aves; Anseriformes; Anatidae
Description: lncRNA (ENSAPLG00000020902.1)
Source: RNAcentral
CUGUUGGUCCUCUUCACAUGUAAAUUUAUAAGGUUAUGCAACAGCUUCUGCAAUUACUAUUUUUCUUUUUGUGUGCAGAAUUUUCCCUGUGUCCCAUAACUAAGUUUCCUUUCAAGUCUGGGAUAAGCCUAUGCUUGACAAUGCAAGAAUCUCCAAAGAUCAAGUACAGAAUAAUAGAUGUUGAAGCUGCAAAUUCUGCCAAUAUCAUCACUGUUCUAAUGUCAGUGGAUUUAGUUAGUACAUUAUAUUUGGAAUUCAGAGAACGAAGAAAGGUAGAGAGAAAACUUUAUGAAGCUAGUAGUUCAAUUAUUUUCUGAAAGACACCUGCAAGGUGAUUAUUAUUAUUAUUUACUAAAAAUUAACUCAGUAACUUGAAUUUA